Transfer RNA from Prevotella dentalis DSM 3688, 73 nucleotides. It matches the Rfam family "tRNA". Rfam says of the family: Transfer RNA (tRNA) molecules are approximately 80 nucleotides in length. Their secondary structure includes four short double-helical elements and three loops (D, anti-codon, and T loops). Further hydrogen bonds mediate the characteristic L-shaped molecular structure. tRNAs have two regions of fundamental functional importance: the anti-codon, which is responsible for specific mRNA codon recognition, and the 3' end, to which the tRNAs corresponding amino acid is attached (by aminoacyl-tRNA synthetases). tRNAs cope with the degeneracy of the genetic code in two manners: having more than one tRNA (with a specific anti-codon) for a particular amino acid; and 'wobble' base-pairing, i.e. permitting non-standard base-pairing at the 3rd anti-codon position. NCBI's taxonomy places the organism in Bacteria, Pseudomonadati, Bacteroidota, Bacteroidia, Bacteroidales, Prevotellaceae. The record is from Rfam.
CGCAGGGUGGCGCAGAUGGCAGCGCAUGAGGUUCAUUCCCUCAGGGUCGACGGUUCGAGUCCGUCCCCUGCAA